GGAAGUAUGGCUAGAUGGCAGAGCACCUGUCCAUUAAGCAUGAGGCUCUAAGUUUAAAUCUCAGUACUGCCA
RNAcentral lists this transfer RNA (72 nucleotides) under Dipodomys ordii (Ord's kangaroo rat). It matches the Rfam family "tRNA". Rfam says of the family: Transfer RNA (tRNA) molecules are approximately 80 nucleotides in length. Their secondary structure includes four short double-helical elements and three loops (D, anti-codon, and T loops). Further hydrogen bonds mediate the characteristic L-shaped molecular structure. tRNAs have two regions of fundamental functional importance: the anti-codon, which is responsible for specific mRNA codon recognition, and the 3' end, to which the tRNAs corresponding amino acid is attached (by aminoacyl-tRNA synthetases). tRNAs cope with the degeneracy of the genetic code in two manners: having more than one tRNA (with a specific anti-codon) for a particular amino acid; and 'wobble' base-pairing, i.e. permitting non-standard base-pairing at the 3rd anti-codon position. The record is from Rfam by way of RNAcentral. Lineage: Eukaryota; Metazoa; Chordata; Mammalia; Rodentia; Heteromyidae.